Molecule: ribosomal RNA, 399 nt
Filed under: uncultured bacterium
Lineage: Bacteria
Description: partial 16S ribosomal RNA
Rfam family: Bacterial small subunit ribosomal RNA
Source: RNAcentral
AUAUUGCACCAUGGUGGACACCCUCAUGCAGCAACACCGCGUGAGCGAGGUAGGCCUUCGGGUCGCAAAUGUCUGGCCUACGUGAUGAACAUAUGACGGUACCGUAGGAGGGAGGUCCGGCGAACUAAGUGACAGCAGCCGCGGUAAGACGUAGGGGGCAAGCGUUAUCCGGAAUCACUGGGCGUAAGGGGUGCGUAGGCGGUCGACAAAGUCUGGGGUGAAAGGCUACGGCUCAACAGUAGUAAGCCUUGGAAUCUUGUGGACUUGAGUGCAGGAGAGGUAAGUGGAAUUCCUAGUGUAGCGGUGAAAUGCGUAGAUAUUAGGAGGAACACCAGUGGCGAAGGCGACUUACUGGACUGUAACUGACGCUGAGGCACGAAAGCGUGGGGAGCAAACAGG